ACUCUUCGGUGACUGGCAAUGCUUCCUGAAUGAAAGAAACAUCUACUUGACCUCCUCACAGUCUCCCUUUCUAUAGUGCAAGCUCGACUAGACAGUUUUGACAAUAGUGAUAUUAAGGCUCUGCUUGGUGCCAUGCAAUCUGCAUUUGGGGUGCCAGCUAGCCACAGGACUCAUCUGGAAAAAAACAACGGCCCAACCCUGAGAACUUUGGGAUUCACGGGAAAUUACAGUUCCCCUGAUGAUGCAGGACCGGACCAGGAUUUCACUCAUCAACUGGCCUAGAUUAAGGAGAAAGAAAUCUACAUUUCUGAACCUGGUAACGUCUGAGCAUACUCAUGGAAGAAAGAGCUGGCCUAUGAGCACCAUCUACAUUCUUACCAUGACUGUGAGACUGAUACUGCCCACAACGAUACCAGUACUGAGUGAUGAAGAACAUUUUGCUAAGUUGUUCUAUCGUGGUCCUUGCUUAAGGGGAUUGUUGGACGGAUGUUGUGGGAACUGAACUUGAAGAAGGAAGAGCCCAUCAUUUGGACACAUCUUAGGGCUUCCCAGCUGCACCAGGUUAUGGACAAGGGACCUGGAACCCCAACCCUUCCAGUCACUAACCACAUGGCCUGAGAUGUCAUUUCAUGCAGCUGGGCUCUUUGUGCUCAUCAGCAAGUGAUGUAAAUAAAGCAUGUGAGGUUAGCACACCGUAUAUUCUCAAAUCCUGGAGCUACUGGUCCUCUUGUGACUAUUAUUAUUAUUAAUAUUAUAAUGAACUUUUGAAAAAAUUAUUUAGUGUGUUGCAAAGUUUCUCUACACCUGGAAGUAAAUGCAGUCAAAUUUGGGUGAGGCAGGAAUUUCCAAUCUUGAGUCUGCCCCUUUGCAGACCCUUCCUAGAGGCUGAGACCCUGUAGCUGUGGCCUGAGCCCACCGGAUAUGCAGCCAAGUAUGGGCAUCUGUCAACUACAGCAAUGCAUAAGGGAUGCCACCCAAAUAGCUGCACUUUUCUGAAAAUCAUCACUUCUGUUCUGCAAAGAGCUACACAUUCCUCUCCCUUUUUCCCUACUUUUGAGUUCUUUAUUUUCCAAUAUGCAUGACGCCAAGGGGCCAUGAGGAUUUGUGAGCAUGCAACACCCCUGGGAGAAGGUAGUCUUUUGUGCCACAAUCAGUCGAAGGACCAGACCUGGAACCACUGAUUCCCAAGCUGUUGACUGCAGAGUCACCACCAGCUCCUUGAGAAUCUGAUGGUUGAUUCAGCUCCUCUUGGAUGGGUUGAUGGAAAAUGCAUUUAUAUUUGGCAAAUGCCAAUAUAAUUGGGCUUUUUAAAAUUCCAGAAGAUUUUAAUUGCAGAAAAUUACUUAAGUCCUUUAUUGUCUUUUUUUUUUUUUUUGCUCUUAAAGCUGAGCAAUGAAGUGAGACCAAACUAGAGUUUAAUAAAAACUAAUUCCCACUAGAAUUUAGAGCACAUCUUUAAACCUUAAAUCUUCUGUUCAUGACACUUUGCCCAGUUAACUGCUAGAGCCUGCAGGCUGUUUUUAAUUUACAGUUUUUACUCCCAUCAGAAGAUGGAAGGAAAAAUAACCGAAAAUAAUGUCUGCAGAAUAGUCCCAGUGCCUAGCUGUCCUGCACAACUGCCAGGCUCUGUUCAACUUGUGAGAGAGGAGAAAUUUCUCUCUGAAAGAAGGGCAUUAGGAUCCCCAAGGGCUUCUGUGCAAAAAAGGAGAACUGCCUGGUUAGGCCCCUCCUAUAUGCCCAGGAUGCAUAAACAUGAUCUCCCUCAGACCUCAGGGCAGCAUCUUGAUACAUGAGCAAGCAUCCCUGUGCUGCUGAGAAGACAUUUAGAGAGGUGCGGCCAUCACACACUAAUAAAGUGCAAAUCCAAUGCAUUGUGCAAUUCAAAUUGGAUCUGCCUCUUUCCCGAAUCAAUUAUUUUGCCUUGAGGGGUUGCCAGAUAAAAUACUGAAUGCUGAGUUCUGUUUAAGUUUCAGGUAACCAAGAGUCAUGUUUCCAUGUAAGUAUGUCCUAGAUAUUGCAUGGAACUUAGAUAUACUGAAAAAUUAUUGAUUUUUUUAAUCUGAAAUUUUGAUUGAAGUGGGCUUUCUAUAAUUUUAUUGUUAAAUCUGGAACACUAGGCGAUUUCUCUUCAUAAGAACCAAAUGUUGACUAUCUGUUCUUUUAUUGGUGUAGAUCCCAAUUCAAUUUUCAUUAAAAUUAAUGUAUAUUUGCAAAAAAUUAGCCAGGAGUGGUGGUGGGCACCUGUGGUCCCAGCUGCUCGGGAGGCUGAAGCAGAAGAAUGGUGUGAACCGGGGAGGCGGAGCUUGCAUGAGCCGAGAUGGCGCCACUGCACUCCAGCCCGGGUGACAGAGUGAGACUCUGUCUCAAAAAAAAAAAAAAUUAAUGUAUAUUCGGCAGGAUGUUUGGGACAUUGAUGCCUAGCCUUUUAUUUCAGGCCUAUGAGAAGAAAGGGGAAAAGGAUGGAAGAGGAUAAAGAAGGAGGGAGAGCAGGAGGGAAGAGUGGGAAUGAAGGAAGAAGGAAAGAAAAACUUAAAGUAGAAGAAAAAGGAAGAAAUCAAUAUUUUUCUGAACAUUUUCUAUUUUUAUUUUUUAUUUUUUUUUUAUUUUUUAUUUUUUAUUUUUGGAGAUGGAGUUUCACUCUUGUUGCCCAGGUUGGAGUGCAAUGGCACGAUCUUAGCUCACUGCAACCUCCCCUCCUGGGUUCAAGCAGUUCUCCUACCUUGGCCUCCCGAGUAGCUGAGAUUACAGGCACCUGCCACCAUGCCUAGCUAAUUUUGACAUUUUUAGUAGAGACAGGGUUUCACCAUGUUGGCCAGGCUGGUCUCAAACUCCUGACCUCAGGUGAUCCACCUGCCUCAACCUCCCAAAGUCCUGGGAUUGCAGGGCAUGAGCCAUGGCACCUGGCCCAUUUUCUAUUUUUAAAAAAGAGCACCCCUGCUAUAUCAGAAUCACAGGCAAUUAUAAAGUAAUUUAACUUAAAACUGAAAUGAAUAAUAAUUCCCUACAGGGGACAUCUCUUUAGGAAGACAACUUGUAAAAUAUUACAUUAUUACACUUCAAUUUGCAUAUGCGUACAUUUCAUUAACUAAAUUAUAACUAUUAAUGUCAGGUUUAUCAACCAAUUAUCAGCCAAUUAUUAUCACCAAGGAGAUCUAGAAUAAUUAGAUGACAGUUAACCAACUAAAUCAUAUGCAAAUAAAUUCAGUUUUUAUCCACUGAAAAUCAGAUCCUGCAAGACUCAAAACAUCUGGAUAUCUGUAAGCAUCUAAAACUUUGGCAUUUUUAUAGGCAAAAUAAUUCACUGGUUUAUUUUUAUUUGUAAUAUUUACUCAGAGGUUUUAUCUCUAUACACACACAGUCACAUUUCUCAUUAAUUUAAAAAAGUCAUCUGACCUCUUCAGACCCUGGCUGUUGCCCACACUUGGGCCACAGGACCCUGACAGAUCUUCUCACUCUGAGGUUGAAUGACUCUCAGAAUCAGCCAUUAAAUGGGUAACUGCAAGUAAGAGAUUUAAACAUUGCCUUUCUCUGUUGAAAGGUAGGCACAGAAUACAAAUAUACACUUCCUUCUUUCUUAUUUAGGCUUCCAGGAAUAUAAUACACGGUAUUUUAUACCCCACAUAUGUGACGACUAAUCCCAAGUAAGCACAAGGUGAGAGAGUUUUAACUGACAUGGGGCUAGGAGACAGUAAGAUCACACUACAGUCUUCUCUGGUUACUUAAAGCUUCUUGCAUUUAUUUGAAAAUACUAAGAUAUAUUCCAAUGGGAACAGGGACUUGGGAAAAUAAAAUUGCACAUCAGGGCUGACUUCACAAAGAAUUAACGAUAAAAUCUCUUCCUUGUCAUCUUUUAAUUCUUGAUCUGUGUGCCUCUGUGCUUAAGAGGAAUGGCUGUAUGACAGGGGUGGAUAGCAUUCCUACAUCCCAGGGACAUUUGCUGGCUCUGGGGCCCUCACGUCUGGAAAGACAUAGUUCCUACCUUCAAUCAGUAGGGUACACAUGAGCAUACCCAAGCACUGCACAACACAGCUGGUUUUAUAAUAGCCAUCAUGGAGAGGCAGAAGACAGAGAGGGAAAAUCCUUCCAAGGACCUGGUUAGGAUCCUCAGAGGAGGAGGUAAAAGAGCUUGGGAACAUCAGAGAUGGUGGCCAGGUAGGCAGGUUCAGGAUCGGCUGGUCCGAAUAAUUUCCGGGCUCUGGGGCAGAAGGGCUGUCUCUAAUUGUCUGAUAUCUGGCCCUGAGGGUGAUAGCCCCAUAAGUGGAGGGGCUUGGAGCUGUGGGAUGCAGAGACACACACAGAGGGAAGACUAUGAGAAAAGACACAGGGAGAAGAUGGCCAUCCACAAGCCAAGGAGAGAGGCCUCAGAAGACGCCAACCCUGACAACACCUUGCUCUCAGACUCUGGGCCUCCAGGAC
This 4416-nucleotide long non-coding RNA is filed under the name Homo sapiens (human). RNAcentral describes it as "non-protein coding lnc-C7orf57-6:7". The record is from RNAcentral. Lineage: Eukaryota; Metazoa; Chordata; Mammalia; Primates; Hominidae.